GACGAACGCUGGCGGCGUGCUUAACACAUGCAAGUCGAACGGAAAGGCCUGCUUUCCCUUGUGGAUUGCGGGUACUCGAGUGGCGAACGGGUGAGUAACACGUGAGUGAUCUGCCCCCAACUUGGGUAUAAGCCUGGGAAACUGGGUCUAAUUCCCGAUAGGACUGCAGGGUGGUGCCUGUGGUGGAAAACGAUUUUCUAGUGGUUGGGGAUGAGCUCGCGGCCUAUCAGCUUGUUGGUGGGGUAAUGGCCUACCAAGGCGGCGACGGGUAGCCGGCCUGAGAGGGUGGACGGCCACAUUGGGACUGAGAUACGGCCCAGACUCCUACGGGAGGCAGCAGUGGGGAAUAUUGCACAAUGGGCGGAAGCCUGAUGCAGCGACGCCGCGUGGGGGAUGACGGCCUUCGGGUUGUACACUCCUUUCGACCGCGAGGAAGCCACCUGGUUGGAAGGGUGGUGACGGUAGUGGUAGAAGAAGCACCGGCUAACUACGUG
Molecule: ribosomal RNA, 494 nt
Filed under: uncultured bacterium
Lineage: Bacteria
Description: partial 16S ribosomal RNA
Rfam family: Bacterial small subunit ribosomal RNA
Source: RNAcentral